This 518-nucleotide ribosomal RNA is filed under the name uncultured Glomus. Its description in RNAcentral is "SSU rRNA". It matches the Rfam family "Eukaryotic small subunit ribosomal RNA", at positions 569 to 1088 of the family's 1831-position model. Lineage: Eukaryota; Fungi; Glomeromycota; Glomeromycetes; Glomerales; Glomeraceae. The record is from RNAcentral.
AGCAGCCGCGGUAAUUCCAGCUCCAAUAGCGUAUAUUAAAGUUGUUGCAGUUAAAAAGCUCGUAGUUGAAUUUCGGGAUCAAUUUAUUGGUCGUGCUAUUGUACGUACUGGUAUUAUUGAUUCCUACCUUCUGACGAACCAUGAUGUCAUUAAUUUGGUGUCAUGGGGAAUCAGGACUGUUACUUUGAAAAAAUUAGAGUGUUUAAAGCAGGCUCACGCUUGAAUACAUUAGCAUGGAAUAACGAAAUAGGACGUUUGAUUCUAUUUUGUUGGUUUCUAGGAUCGACGUAAUGAUUAAUAGGGAUAGUUGGGGGCAUUAGUAUUCAAUUGUCAGAGGUGAAAUUCUUGGAUUUAUUGAAGACUAACUACUGCGAAAGCAUUUGCCAAGGAUGUUUUCAUUAAUCAAGAACGAAAGUUAGGGGAUCGAAGACGAUCAGAUACCGUCGUAGUCUUAACCAUAAACUAUGCCGACUAGGGAUCGGAUGAUGUUAAUUUUUAAUGACUCAUUCGUCGUACCG